This 229-nucleotide ribosomal RNA is filed under the name uncultured bacterium. Its description in RNAcentral is "partial 16S ribosomal RNA". It matches the Rfam family "Bacterial small subunit ribosomal RNA", at positions 492 to 722 of the family's 1533-position model. The record is from RNAcentral.
CUCGCGUGUCGUGUCAGCAGCCGCGGUAAUACAGAGGAUGCAAGCGUUAUCCGGAAUUACUGGGCGUAAAGCGCACGUAGGCGGAUACUUAAGUUAGGGGUGAAAUCCCGGAGCUCAACUCUGGAACUGCCUUUAAAUACUGGGUAUCUCGAGUCCGGAAGAGGUGAGUGGAAUUCCGAGUGUAGAGGUGAAAUUCGUAGAUAUUCGGAGGAACACCAGUGGCGAAGGC